ACUUUCGCUAGCUCUGUAGACA
This 22-nucleotide microRNA is filed under the name Heliconius melpomene (postman butterfly). Its description in RNAcentral is "Hme-Mir-3-P24_5p* (star (passenger))". Lineage: Eukaryota; Metazoa; Arthropoda; Insecta; Lepidoptera; Nymphalidae. The record is from RNAcentral.